UACGUAGGGGGCAAGCGUUGUCCGGAAUUACUGGGCGUAAAGGGCGUGUAGGUGGGGGAUUAAGUAAUGGGUGUAAACUCUGGGCUCAACCUAGAGAUUGCCCAUUAAACUGGUUCUCUUGAGGGCAGGAGAGGAAAGCGGAAUUCCUAGUGUAGCGGUGAAAUGCGUAGAUAUUAGGAGGAACACCAGUGGCGAAGGCGGCUUUCUGGACUGACCCUGACACUGAGGCGCGAAAGCCAGGGGAGCGAAC
This 250-nucleotide ribosomal RNA is filed under the name uncultured bacterium. Its description in RNAcentral is "partial 16S ribosomal RNA". It matches the Rfam family "Bacterial small subunit ribosomal RNA", at positions 524 to 773 of the family's 1533-position model. The record is from RNAcentral.